This 223-nucleotide non-coding RNA is filed under the name Tistlia consotensis USBA 355. The record is from RNAcentral. Lineage: Bacteria; Pseudomonadati; Pseudomonadota; Alphaproteobacteria; Rhodospirillales; Rhodovibrionaceae. RNAcentral also lists the same sequence under 1 other name.
UAGCGUAUCGUCAGCGACGGUGUCGGGAACGCGGUGAGACGCGCGGGCGGGCCUCGAUGAGAGGGCUCCCCGGACGUCAAAUCCACGGCUGCCCCCGCAACUGUAGGCGGCGAGCGCUCGAGGCCUCGGCGAUGCCACUGGGUCCCCCGCAAGGGGCUCGGGAAGGCUGCCGAAAGCGCAACGACCCGCAAGCCAGGAGACCGGCCGUCGCGAUCGGUUCGAC